RNAcentral lists this small RNA (698 nucleotides) under Pongo abelii (Sumatran orangutan). RNAcentral describes it as "retained intron". Lineage: Eukaryota; Metazoa; Chordata; Mammalia; Primates; Hominidae. The record is from RNAcentral.
AAGAAAAAAGACAAGACAUGAAAGGACAUUAGUAGUGUGGGGGGGAGGGCCCCGCUGGCCUCCCUGGGGUGGGGGGCUGAGGAGCAGAGGCCAGAUGCUGAGGAGGAGCAGGAGCCACAUUCAAGGCCUCCUGCCGGCUGAGCCACGACUCCGCCCACCCCGGCUCCCAUCUCUUCCAGGCUCCUCUGGACCCUCCCUGCUGCCCAGCGCUGGGGACACCUUCCUCACCCUGCGGACUCUGGCCUCUCUCCAGCCUCCUCCUGGGGGAGGCUGCCUGCAGUCCCAGGCCCAGGGUAACUGGCAGGGGGCCACCCCCCCACCUGCAACUGCUUCACCUGCUGGAGACCCUGGCAGCAUCAACUCCAGUACGUCUAAUUAAGUUUUGGGCAUAAGCAGGAAAGAGCGCCGUGUGAGCUGCCGUGUAUCGCCAGCCGUUGCUUUGUUACUGAACGUGCCGCCGAUGACCUCAGAAAACCCAGAUGGGUGGUGGUGCCCGUGAGCUCCUGCUCCUCAUCCAGGCCCGUGGCGCCGGCUCAUGUGUCUGCUGGGACUCAAGAUGGCCUGAAACCUGAAACGCCACUCAUUCUCCCACCUCAGUUCGUUUUUUGAUAGUAAUUUUAUGGUAACGCUAUGAAUUGUCUGUUCUAGGACCUGGCACAGAUUUUCCCAUUAAAAUUUUUGACUUAUUUUAAUUCCGA